UACGAAGGGGGCGAGCGUUGUUCGGAUUUACUGGGCGUAAAGGGCGCGUAGGCGGCUAUCCAAGUCAGGCGUGAAAGCCCCGGGCUUAACCUGGGAGGUGCGUCUGGGACUGGGUGGCUAGAGUUCGGGAGAGGAGAGUGGAAUUCCCAGUGUAGAGGUGAAAUUCGUAGAUAUUGGGAAGAACACCGGUGGCGAAGGCGGCUCUCUGGACCGAGACUGACGCUGAGGCGCGAAAGCGUGGGGAGCAAACAGG
Molecule: ribosomal RNA, 253 nt
Filed under: uncultured bacterium
Lineage: Bacteria
Description: partial 16S ribosomal RNA
Rfam family: Bacterial small subunit ribosomal RNA
Source: RNAcentral